GGGGUGCUCGAGUGGCGAACGGGUGAGUAACACGUGAGUAACCUACCCUUGACUUUGGGAUAACUUCAGGAAACUGGGGCUAAUACCGGAUAGGAGCUCCUGCUGCAUGGUGGGGGUUGGAAAGUUUCGGCGGUUGGGGAUGGACUCGCGGCUUAUCAGCUUGUUGGUGGGGUAGUGGCUUACCAAGGCUUUGACGGGUAGCCGGCCUGAGAGGGUGACCGGCCACAUUGGGACUGAGAUACGGCCCAG
This 249-nucleotide ribosomal RNA is filed under the name uncultured Actinomycetales bacterium. Its description in RNAcentral is "partial 16S ribosomal RNA". It matches the Rfam family "Bacterial small subunit ribosomal RNA", at positions 84 to 334 of the family's 1533-position model. Lineage: Bacteria; Bacillati; Actinomycetota; Actinomycetes; Actinomycetales. The record is from RNAcentral.